RNAcentral lists this long non-coding RNA (1762 nucleotides) under Numida meleagris (helmeted guineafowl). RNAcentral describes it as "lncRNA (ENSNMEG00000022717.1)". The record is from RNAcentral. Lineage: Eukaryota; Metazoa; Chordata; Aves; Galliformes; Numididae.
GUUGGAGUUCAUGGAUUGCAGUAGAGACACCAAACGAGGACAGGAAUCCUUCUGGCUCUGGCUGAAGGGAAAGUGAGUGUCUGCUUCUACUGCUCCCCUGCUUCUUUUUCCAUCCUUGGCACAAGACUGGCACCUCUGGAGGUGGCUGAGGAGGGAGCAAGACUCUUCUUGAGUAGUGUCCUCACUGCAGGGAGACAAACAUUAGACUAGAUGUCGUUUUCACUUUUCUGAGUUCAAUGGGAUUAAAUCCACUCCAUCUCAUGGAAGCAUUACAGUGAAUACAGGGUGGCCUGUGGAGUUCUCUCUUCCUUAGUGGAGAAGAUCAAGGCAUGUGCUGGUGGAGGAUUUGGGGAACAGAUCCACAUAACCGUGCACUUCUGGCUGACAUCAUCAGCUUGUUUCCAAGGAGGGAAUGUCCUGGAUGACUGCAGGCUACAGAUCUUAGCCAGCUCCUACCUGAUGACAAGGUGCUGCUGAGAUGUGUGACAGCCGCAGAUGGCUAUCAGCUUCUGGAGAUCGCCUGUCCGUGCUCUCCUGUCCCCUCAUUUCACUGAGUGGCACCAGGGGAAAGUGACAGACGAAGCACCACCUGACCAGACAAGAAAAACACCAGCAAAAACACAAGGGGAAACUUUCAGAGUUCUUUCUUCUUUGUUUCUUCUAUGACCAGCUUAUGCAUGCAUUGGUUUUGAUCCAACACCAUCCCCCCAUUGGCUCAGCUGUUCCUUGGCCCAAAACUGGAUCUACCAAGUCAUCCUACAGAACACAACUGCUUCUCCUCCAUCUGUUCACCCUGCUUUUAAGACACACCUGAGAUCCCAUGGCUCAUGGCUGAGCUUGUGGCAAUGCUUGCAGCAAUCCACAAGGUCUAGCAGCUCAUCACUACAUCACUUGAAACCAGCGUAUGGCAAGGAAGAGGCUUGAAUCUCUCCCGCUCCCCUGUGGGAUGGUGUUGGAGAGAACCACCAGCCUGUGGGCAGAGACAAGGGCCCCCACCACACUGACAGCCCAGCACCUACCCCCGAGGAGAGCCCAGCUUGUGCAUCAGCUCAGCACAAAAGGGGCUUGGGAUAAAACUGCUGCUCUGACAACUCUGGGAACCACAGUUCGCCAUGCGUUCCCAGGAUGGGGGCAUGAGGUGGUGCUGCGAGAUGAUGGGGUGCAGCCCAACCAGACCCACAUCCAGCCCAGCCAGUGGGUGCAAGAAGGCCAAUGUCUCAGGCACCCACUGACUACCAGUACUGGGAGAAGGCUGCAUACCCAUGGGAUUACCAGCCCGUCUGCAUCCUUGCACAAAAUAGAGCCUGUCCCCACCAACUGAGGAGUUGCUGAUACACCUGCAGGGAUACAGUCGCAGUAUCUCCUCUGUGUGCAACUCCUGUUGUACUUUCUGUCCUUUUUGCUUCACUGUUUGGGAGUGCUUCAGCUCCUCAGACCCCCUUUGCUGGUAUCAGAAACGCUUCAAGGGAGUUCCAUAGAUGUGGAAGGCUGGAAAGCAUCAAUGGUUCAGGGUGAGACUUAAACUGGGUCAGUGUUUGUGCAGAUACUGAUAUUAGGGCAACACAGCUGAGCGCCAUUGGUGACUUGGACGCUUCUGGGUGGGACAGUUACUUCGAGGGGCAGUGCCAUGUGUUUCAUCCUGCACAAACCCACAAUGGGCGCUGAGAGCAGCACCCAUUCCUUCAGUCCCUUUUCUCUCCUCCAGUUUGCAUUACUCCCCCUGACAAGCAGAUCCCAGUAGUUAUUUCUUUGGAGCCUCCUU